GCGGCCGCUGAGGUCCAGCCGGCCGAGGCGGUGGGAGGCGGCGGCGGCGGGGCCGCCGGCUGGAUGGGAAGUUCAUGUUGACGGCGGAGUCCACCCCAGGUUUCCAAGGUGGCGACAGACAAGGUGGCAGAAAAGCUGAGUUCUACUCUCUCAUGGGUGAAGAACACAGUCUCGCACACAGUCAGUCAGAUGGCCAGCCAGGUGGCAAGUCCAUCAGCCUCACUACAUACCACAUCCUCAUCUACCACACUGUCAACACCAACACAGUCACCAUCUUCCCCAUCAAAGUUGAGUCCAGACGACUUAGAACUCCUGGCUAAGCUGGAGGAACAAAACAGAUUAAUAGAGACAGACAGUAAGUCUUUAAGAUCAGUGAAUGGGUCAAGAAGAAACAGCGGCUCCUCUCUUGUUUCAAGUUCAUCGGCCUCCAGCAACCUCAGCCACUUGGAGGAAGACUCUUGGAUUCUAUGGGGAAGAAUUGUGAAUGAGUGGGAUGAUGUACGCAAGAAGAAAGAAAAGCAAGUGAAGGUAUUUCGCUGUUUACUGAAGUCCUUUCUCUUAUUUAGAGGGUAAGAGACAUGGACUUGUAGGGUGUUAGGAAAAGCAGAAGGGUUCUUCUAAGUAAUCUGUGUGCUGUGUUAUGAACAGGUUGCCUUUUUAUUUUCAUUAUCCAUGUUUGAUGGGAGUUGUAAGUUGUAGAAAUUCACAAUUGAAAAUUAUUUUUAGAAAUUAAAUUCUCUCGUUUUGUAAAUUCAGAAUUG
Molecule: long non-coding RNA, 761 nt
Filed under: Rattus norvegicus (Norway rat)
Lineage: Eukaryota; Metazoa; Chordata; Mammalia; Rodentia; Muridae
Description: long non-coding RNA NONRATT009177
Source: RNAcentral